GUGCCCGGACCAGUCUGUGCGUGGAGUGCUCGCGUGCGGCCGGCUGACUCCCUCCCGCGCGGCCCGGUGGACCCAGACCUAACGACCUGACCUGACGCCCGCACGAAUCCGCAGAAAACGUUUGCUGUAAGUAAUCAGUGGGCAGUUACCAGCUGAAUACCUUUAUUCAUGGCGUCUGAGCGGCCUGGCCUCACUGGUGAGACUCCGACACCGCCCGAUGGCGCCGGGGCGGCAGCGGCUGCCGACUGCUACUCCCUGACCGAGGUCGUCACCACCUCACAGCUCCUGGAAGACCUGGGAGGUUACGUCAUCACGCUAUGGGUUGUCGUCGGUCUAGAGGUGUUGUUUCUGUACGGUCUUCUGGCCAAGACGCUGUGGAGCGUGUACCACAAUGAGCGACUGCCCAAGCUCUGGCGGUCUGGAACCGUCUGGGCUAACUCAGUGCCCUCCUUUGUUGCUUUGAUGUGCCUCGGAAGCCUGAUUGUCCCGGCAUCCGACAGGCUUUUACGUGCGGUAAGGCUCAUAUAUCUGAGUGUUUCCCUGUCCAAGUUCGUCGAGCUGUGCCUGCUGUACUUUGGCGGCGAGUCGCGACUGCUGGCUGCCGUGGAGGGCAGCGCCGUUCCCCUGGCUGUUCCCCCGUGCUGCUGCUGCUGCCGUCCCUGCUGUCCGAGACCCACAAUCACAAAGCAUCUGGCGGUCCAGGAUACGUGAUUCUUAUGGCACUGCAUGCCGUGGCGUUUCUCCUUGGCAUGUACGGCCUGAUCAUGCUUGAGACAACCACGAAAGGACAACUGCAGAGCCUUCGCUAUCGGGCAAAGUUCGCGCUAAUGAAAUUCACCGUGGUGAUCAUCAACAUCCAAAAGUUUAUCUUUAGCAUCGUCAUAUCCACCGGUGGCUUUACAUGUACUGCUUCAAUGUCGCCAGAGGUCUACGGCGCGUUUAUCCUCAACAUUGUGAUCGCCGCCGAGAUGCUGCUGUUUGGCGUGCUCAACCACUGGGCCUACCAGGCGGACGGCAGGUCGGCUGACGACCUCACCGCGGCCGACCUGACCCCCUCCGGCAGCCCUGCCGACCGCGCCGACACUCCAACGUCACAGCAGACAUGGACGUCAACGGCGCAACGCGAGAACGUCGGCGCAAAAACGACCAACGGAUUCAGUGGAGCGUAGGCUGUGCCGCAAUGACUGUUACAUAACAGUGUUAUUAUGCUUCGCCUUCUUCGUUUCGGGUGACAAUGAGAUAAACAAAAUUAAACCAAAUGUUUCGGCUGUAUUGAUUGACUUUCUGUACUGGUUUAAAAAGGACAAUAAUAGAAAAAGAUGUCUGAGAAAUAUGAGGAAUAACAGUAUGUCGCCUUUUUAGUGGUAUUGGGUAUACAUACACUGUUUAGUGGAUACAUUGUUAGGUAGAACUCUACUCCCAACGACAUCGUCAUGUUUCAACCAACACAUUGCACUUAAUUAAUGCAUAUGUUCGCAUAGGCACCAGCCACCAGGUACUCAAGGUAGGCAACCCGCAUUGCACUCUGCGUGCAAUGCGCGUACCGGAGCGCCUUAGCCUUCGCAGAAUUCGAACAACUACCAUAAGGACAGUGCUUUGCGUUGCAGCCUCUGAAUAAUAUGGAGAACAUUUGGCUGCAAAUGAGAGCAUUAGGUGCCGAAAUAAACACAACUGCUUGAAUGGUCUAUCUGUAGUUAUAGUUUGCAAAGUAGUGUCUAUUUAAGCCGUCCAUCUGCUUUGUACCGAGUGUUUCAGCUCAAUUUCGAUAGUGCCCCUGGCCCAGGGCUGCGGAGUCGGGGUCGGAG
This 1805-nucleotide unclassified non-coding RNA is filed under the name Amphibalanus amphitrite. RNAcentral describes it as "organic solute transporter subunit alpha-like, transcript variant X4". Lineage: Eukaryota; Metazoa; Arthropoda; Thecostraca; Balanomorpha; Balanidae. The record is from RNAcentral.